RNAcentral lists this small RNA (680 nucleotides) under Rattus norvegicus (Norway rat). RNAcentral describes it as "uncharacterized LOC108350489". Lineage: Eukaryota; Metazoa; Chordata; Mammalia; Rodentia; Muridae. The record is from RNAcentral.
GAAAUCCACCCCAUCUCUCACCAGUGGCAGCACUUGGGAAAGCGGGUUCUGCACCUCACCCAGUCAGCACAGUGAAGCCAGUCCUCGCAGCAGCAGUGUAGGUAGACAGCCCUAAGUGUGUGAGUAUGAGAGAGUGGACCCUACCACAGAGGUGAUGUGUUCCCACUGCCCCUUGCUAUCUUUGGCAAUCAGGAAAGUUGCCCACCGGGUCAUAAACUCAGGAGAGCUCUCCUUGUCCUUCAGCAGCUGCAGCACUCAGGAGAGCAGACCCUGCACCUUGCCUGGAUAGCACAGCAGACUGGGGCUGACUGAGGGUGCAGCACAUGGAGAGUGAACCCUACAUCUCUCCUGGGAAGCACUGUAUAGCUGGCCCUGGUGAAGAGGUGGCAGCUGAGCUGGUCCUGAGGAUCAUGGGAAAGUUGGCUCUGCCAGCCUGUCAUGAGAUGAGCAACACAGUGGAGGUGGUCGUGAUGUUGAAGGCAUGAGUAAGCCAUCCCCGAGGGUGGUGAGAGCAGGAGGGCUGGCCUAGCCCCUCACAGGCUGCAGCACUUGGGAGAGUGGGCCCUGCCUCUUGACUAAGCAGCACCGUGGACCUGCCUCUGGAGGCAGGGGUGCAGGACAACAACGGGAUGGUGGAGAGCAGUCCUAAUGAGGAUCCAACAUUAAUGGUGUCACAGAAG